GGGUAGAGUAAUGCGUGACCAACCUGCCCCAUGCUCCAGAAUAGCUCUUGGAAACGGGUGGUGAUGCUGGAUGCUCCAACUUGACGCAUGUCUUGUUGGGAAAGUGUUUAGUGGCAUGGGAUGGGGUCGCGUCCUAUCAGCUUGUAGGCGGGGUAAUGGCCCACCUAGGCUUCGACGGGUAGCCGGCCUGAGAGGGCGGACGGCCACAUUGGGACUGAGAUACGGCCCAGACUCCUACGGGAGGCAGCAGGG
This 252-nucleotide ribosomal RNA is filed under the name uncultured Gardnerella sp. RNAcentral describes it as "partial 16S ribosomal RNA". It matches the Rfam family "Bacterial small subunit ribosomal RNA", at positions 100 to 354 of the family's 1533-position model. Lineage: Bacteria; Bacillati; Actinomycetota; Actinomycetes; Bifidobacteriales; Bifidobacteriaceae. The record is from RNAcentral.